Molecule: long non-coding RNA, 566 nt
Organism: Tachyglossus aculeatus (Australian echidna)
Lineage: Eukaryota; Metazoa; Chordata; Mammalia; Monotremata; Tachyglossidae
Exons: 3
Source: RefSeq, a predicted model, not a curated record
CCGGCACUGCCUCUUGCUGGAAGCCCAGAACCCAGCUGAUCCAGAUGGUUUCCUAGUGGCUGGGCUCAUUCCAAUCAGUGCCUUGCUCUACUUCACCGGAGGGCUGUGAGGACUGAUGGUCCUUCUGCAGCAUAGAGCCCUGGGAGGAACCUUUAGAUACGCUGAAGAUGAACAGUGCCAACAAUCUACCUCAUGAUAUCAGACCCAUAAACCUCUGCCUGCAGCUGGUCCAUUCACUCAUUAAACUGAGAAGACCCAAGCAUCUGCUAGCAGCAAACACUCGAAAAGAUCUCCCCCAAGGACCUACAGUCUCAAGAGAACCCAACAAACGGUUUGGAAUGGAGAAGCAGGAAUUAUUGACUCGGGCUCAAUUCUAAGAAGCUGCUUGAGCUAGCUCCAUUUCCUUCAUAUCCCAGUCACAAGAAUGCAUAUUCAUGUACAUGGCUGCAAUACAGUUAUGAAUUCUUUCUUCCCUUUAUAAACUCAUCCAGGCUGGACCCGAGUAGUUGUUGUUUGUUAUUCUAAGAAGGAAGCUACUUCCCAUCGUAUCCACUUGCUCUUUCAUA